GAUGAAGAACGUAGCGAAAUGCGAUAAGUAAUGUGAAUUGCAGAAUUCAGUGAAUCAUCGAAUCUUUGAACGCACAUUGCGCCCCUUGGUAUUCCGAGGGGCAUGCCUGUUCGAGCGUCAUAUUAACCACUCCCGCUUGCGGGGUCUUGGGCUUCGCCUCCGGGCGGGGCUUAAAAUCAGUGGCGGUGCCGUCGGGCUCUACGCGUAGUAAAUUUUCUCGCGAUAGGGUCCCGGUGGAUGCUUGCCAACAACCCCCAACUUCUUAAGGUUGACCUCGGAUCAGGUAGGGAUACCCGCUGAACUUAAGCAUAUCAAUAAGCGGAGGA
This 326-nucleotide unclassified non-coding RNA is filed under the name soil metagenome. RNAcentral's name for it is "partial contains 5.8S ribosomal RNA, internal transcribed spacer 2, and large subunit ribosomal RNA". The stretch from base 1 to 120 matches the Rfam family "5.8S ribosomal RNA", at positions 35 to 154 of the family's 154-position model. The record is from RNAcentral.